CCCCAAAAGAACAAAUUUUAAAACCCUAAACAAGGUUAUUCGGCCACUUAAAAGAAAAGCAGAAAAAACUGUCUUUCCCCUCUCCUCUUGCGCCGUUCUCAGGCUAAAACCAUGCCUAGCCUCUCUGGUAUCCACAAAACCGAUGAGAACGACGACGGGGUCACCGAGGUGCAACCAUUGUACGGAAGAGGUCGUUCGUAUGGUGACGUGGAAAGGGCCAGAGGCACACGCGUGGUGGGCAUGCGAGGAGGCGUGCGUCGCUGGGACUGUGUGGAGGCAGGAGCGGCGUCCUAGGGUUUGCUGAAGAAUUUAUGUUAUGGGCCUGUUGGGCUAGGGUUUAGUGGGUUUUGGGCCAUACUGGGCCAUUGUAAUGGACUAUUUAAUUGAUUUUGGGUGUUUUGCUGGUAUGGGCCCGGGCAAAAAUGGGCUAUUACAAUAUACGUAGUAUAUGUAGUAGAAAACGAUAAAAUGUCGACAACCUUCUGGUUAAGCAUUAUUCCAUUUUCCUUGGUUUCCUAAAUUCUAUCCACGUCGCUAUUCCUUUUUUUUCCCCAUUUUUGACAAUAUGGGUAAUUUACCAGAACAACUCUCUAAUCUCCUUCCUAAUUAUAUUAGAAUUUUGGUAUCCUUUUUCAUCCUAAAGAAGAAUUGUUUCCCCCAUAUCUUCCCCUUUUCUUUUUCAUCAUUUUCUUUUUGCAAAUAAUUUCUUUCCUUGCUAAAUUUGUUGGCACUCUCUCGAAUCAAAGAUCAAUCCCAAGCAUGAAUCGUUCUUUCAAUGGUAGCAAAUCUUGCAAUUGUUAACCCCGUUUCUCUCAUCCAAGUUCAGACUUGAUUUAGGUACCCCGGACUAGAUCCAAGCACGAAGAGCGACGUUUGUAUGUGUUAUUUUACAAGAAAAUUGAGACAAAAUCAAGCUUACGUUAGACCAUACAACCAGCCACACGGACAUUGUGUGAAUCACACAGCCCCUUCACACGGUCAUGUUUCCCUGAAACCCUAGGUUUUUCACUUCUCACAAAGCCUAGGACCCUCCACACGGCCUACCACACGGCCAUGGCUCCCCUAUAGGUUGAAAUUUUGAAAUUCCACACGGCCACAGUCUCUUACAUAGCCUAACCACACGGCUGUGUACCCCGUCCACACGGCCCAGGGCUCUCCAUGCGAUUGUGUGUCCCCUAUAACUCAAAAUCUACAAUUUUAACCCAAAAUUCUAUGUUUUGAUCAAAUUAGUCCCUAAAUAAGUUUCAAAUUAGUUUCAAUGAAUUAACUAAUGCAUUUAGGUCCCUAAUAAAAUGAAAUAUGUUAGAUUCCCUAAUUGAUCGAAUUAAUGUGGUAAUUAUUUGCUUAUAUAUAUUUGCAUGAAUUAUGAACAA
Gossypium raimondii (Peruvian cotton) is the source of this 1373-nucleotide long non-coding RNA. RefSeq lists it as uncharacterized. The record is from RefSeq and is a predicted model, not a curated record. Lineage: Eukaryota; Viridiplantae; Streptophyta; Magnoliopsida; Malvales; Malvaceae. The transcript has 3 exons.